Molecule: ribosomal RNA, 431 nt
Filed under: Lactobacillus johnsonii
Lineage: Bacteria; Bacillati; Bacillota; Bacilli; Lactobacillales; Lactobacillaceae
Description: bacterial SSU rRNA
Rfam family: Bacterial small subunit ribosomal RNA
Source: RNAcentral
UCUUGAGUGCAGAAGAGGAGAGUGGAACUCCAUGUGUAGCGGUGGAAUGCGUAGAUAUAUGGAAGAACACCAGUGGCGAAGGCGGCUCUCUGGUCUGCAACUGACGCUGAGGCUCGAAAGCAUGGGUAGCGAACAGGAUUAGAUACCCUGGUAGUCCAUGCCGUAAACGAUGAGUGCUAAGUGUUGGGAGGUUUCCGCCUCUCAGUGCUGCAGCUAACGCAUUAAGCACUCCGCCUGGGGAGUACGACCGCAAGGUUGAAACUCAAAGGAAUUGACGGGGGCCCGCACAAGCGGUGGAGCAUGUGGUUUAAUUCGAAGCAACGCGAAGAACCUUACCAGGUCUUGACAUCCAGUGCCANCCUAAGAGAUUAGGUGUUCCCUUCGGGGACGCUAAGACAGGUGGUGCAUGGCUGUCGUCAGCUCGUGUCGUG